RNAcentral lists this ribosomal RNA (301 nucleotides) under uncultured bacterium. Its description in RNAcentral is "partial 16S ribosomal RNA". It matches the Rfam family "Bacterial small subunit ribosomal RNA", at positions 509 to 809 of the family's 1533-position model. The record is from RNAcentral.
CAGCAGCCGCGGUAAUACGUAGGGUGCAAGCGUUAAUCGGAAUUACUGGGCGUAAAGCGUGCGCAGGCGGUUAUAUAAGACAGAUGUGAAAUCCCCGGGCUCAACCUGGGAACUGCAUUUGUGACUGUAUAGCUAGAGUACGGCAGAGGGGGAUGGAAUUCCGCGUGUAGCAGUGAAAUGCGUAGAUAUGCGGAGGAACACCGAUGGCGAAGGCAAUCCCCUGGGCCUGUACUGACGCUCAUGCACGAAAGCGUGGGGAGCAAACAGGAUUAGAUACCCGUGUAGUCCCUGUCUCUUAUAU